AUGAGUGGCUGUCAUGGGAAUGACAUUCCUGUAACAUCAGAUAGUUUGUUUGGAUUGGAGGGUGAUGUCAUAAAGUUGUCCUGUAACUACUCCUCUGCUAGUACUCUCCAGUGGUAUCGACAGUACCCUGGAUUAUCUUCCAUCUUCCUCAUCCUCACUGGAGUGUCCUCAAACCUCUAUUCUGCUCUGUACUACUGUGCCCUGGAGCUCACAGUGACAGGCGUCUUCUGUCUCAGUUCUGAACAGGUUUUAACACCCUACAGUGAUGUUGAAGUGGCUUCAGAAAGGGACAGAGUUAAACUCUCUUGUAACUACUCCUCUGGUGACACUCUUCAAUGGUAUCGUCAAUAUCCCAAUUCAGCACCACAGCUACUGGUUAAGGAGUAUGUGGAUAAUACACCAGGGUUCACUCUAAAUCAUGACAAAAAAGCCAAACGUGUGGAUCUGGAGAUCUCCUCUGCUGAAGUGACAGACUCUGCUCUGUACUACUGUGCCCUGGAGCCCACAGUGACAGGAAACCUGCCAACACUGUUCAAAAACUGCUAUCUAUUCAAGACGAGGAGCUAA
Salvelinus sp. IW2-2015 is the source of this 567-nucleotide non-coding RNA. The record is from the annotation of a RefSeq genome assembly. NCBI's taxonomy places the organism in Eukaryota, Metazoa, Chordata, Actinopteri, Salmoniformes, Salmonidae.